CCAAACGACUCUCGGCAAUGGAUAUCUUGGUUCUCGCAUCGAUGAAGAACGUAGCGAAAUGCGAUACUUGGUGUGAAUUGCAGAAUCCUGUGAACCAUUGAGUUUUUGAACGCAAGUUGCGUCUGAAGCCGUCAGGCCAAGGACACGUCUGCCUGGGCAUCACAC
Molecule: ribosomal RNA, 165 nt
Filed under: Fleroya rubrostipulata
Lineage: Eukaryota; Viridiplantae; Streptophyta; Magnoliopsida; Gentianales; Rubiaceae
Description: 5.8S ribosomal RNA
Rfam family: 5.8S ribosomal RNA
About the family: 5.8S ribosomal RNA (5.8S rRNA) is a component of the large subunit of the eukaryotic ribosome. It is transcribed by RNA polymerase I as part of the 45S precursor that also contains 18S and 28S rRNA. Functionally, it is thought that 5.8S rRNA may be involved in ribosome translocation.
Source: RNAcentral